Molecule: non-coding RNA, 81 nt
Organism: Megalops atlanticus (tarpon)
Lineage: Eukaryota; Metazoa; Chordata; Actinopteri; Elopiformes; Megalopidae
Source: the annotation of a GenBank genome assembly
GGCAGUGUAGCAUAGUGGUAAGGAGCAGGGAGCAGGGCUCGUAACCAAAAGGUUGCUGGUUCGAUUCCGGCACUUCUGCUG